UAAAAUAAAUUUGUGACAGCUAUAUUACUCUCCUCGAUGAUAUAUUACGGUAAGUAUCAAACAAAUGUUUAUUCGAUACUUAACUAUUGUACGUUGUGUUUGCGACAUGGCUAAAGUACUUCCCCUUCGUUUCGAAAGCUGUAGAAAUUUAGAAUUUUCAUGACCUUUCAGUUUUAUCUAUGAUGACCGACUCAUCUUUAUGUUUACAGUAUAUAAUCUACCAUAACCGAGUUCCUAUGGAGACCUUUAGAUAAAAGUUGUCAUCCCUACCCGGUGCACGAAAUAAAAGGUAUAGACAUUGAGCCGAUGCAGAUAGAACAUGACGAAAUAAGAGGCGGUGCCAAUCUAAGCGUUUUACAUGUCCACAGAGAAGGAAAUAACAGCUCUGUCAUCGGCUUUGACAACGAAACCGAGUCCGAAGUUGAAAGAAUUUUUUGGACUUACCUUACAUGUACGAUAGCUAUGACAGCUACCACCACCACGUCGUCAAACUGUAAGCAUCCUGUAUGCGAUGCCCGACUUAACGCCAAGUGCAAUGUUUUUCUGUCGCGAAACGAUUUGAUUAACAAUAGUUAGGUAUGCAUCUAUCUGUUGCAAACAGCUGUUUGUUGUGUGGAGAUUGUAGGCCAUCUAGUGUUGACAAAGUACACUAUAAGUGCUUCAUUGAA
Long non-coding RNA from Daphnia magna, 668 nucleotides. RefSeq lists it as uncharacterized. Lineage: Eukaryota; Metazoa; Arthropoda; Branchiopoda; Diplostraca; Daphniidae. The record is from RefSeq and is a predicted model, not a curated record. The transcript has 2 exons.